CCAGAUUACUGCGUCUGAGUCUGCGGGUGACUCAUCGGCUGUCGGUCUGACUACAUCUGCGGUCAUGGGUGCCCUCCUGCGAGUGUGCACGUACAUCAGCAGCAGGCUGUAACCAUGGCAAAAAAACAACCCAAUAAGUGAGCUAGAUUAUAUUACUGCUAGAGUCCUUUCCGGGUUCACAGCUGCAACAAAUAUCCUUACAACCACAAUGAUUAGAUCAUGUUUAUGAAAGAAUAAAUAAAAACUAUUAUCAGCAGACUCCUUUGAGGGGUCAUAACCCUGACUAAAUGGUUCAUACAUCUGGUAUUGAAGCAGAAAUUUAGAACAAAAAUGAACACACACAAUCUAAUCGAUUUUCAUUUUCAAAGCAACAAUUAUUCCUAAUCAAACAGGAAAUAAUGUAACAUACUGGUAAUUACAGGUAUAUUGGCAUCUACUCUGUAUAUUAGCUUAACAUUCACUAGACAGGCCACCCAAUUAAAAUUUUUCAGUAAAGAAUAUAAAAUCUUUUUGAUGUCUUCCACGGAUCUUUAACCGCAAGUCCACGGAGCCUCGAAACAAACGGCCAAAUUACCGACUCUGCAUGUCUCCUGUUUGUUCUGCGGCCUCCCGCUGACGGUCCAGUUAUUAGGACGAGGCGUGCUGAAGCAGAGACGCGUGUAAAAAUAUUAACUGGUUGAUUACUGAGGCGAUAUGCUUGCCAGUAGCUGGCUGCAAUAACAAAUGCGCUGUUGGGAGCUCGCCAGAUGUAGUUUUGAAAUUCCUUUACCGUAAGAAGAGUAGCCGGUAGAUUAAUUUUAGUUGCCGCGUCAUGACUGUUCAUGUUGAAAUAUUUUCAAAUGUCAGACUUUGCCUUUCUUGUAAUCCUUGGAUUUUUCUGUCUUUACUCCCUCGUGCCCCUUUUCUCCUUUUUCCUUAUUUCCUUCCUUCCUGAUACCGAUAACUGGGUCAUGGCUACUAGACCCGAUAGGACGGGGUCCUCUUUGUCUCGAACAGGCGGUGUUAAACGUUGGUCAAGCUUCACCGGAGUAAUUUUAUUACUCGAGUUGGUCUUUCACUCCUUUAAGAUUGGGCCGCUGGCUUCACAAUCAUUACGUGACGGGAUCACGGUGUUACAAGAUCAGUAACAGAACAUUACAGACUUUUUAUCUUCUAGUCUAAAACGCUCCUGUAAUGACGGUUCUUAACCUCAUCGCCUCCGGGGUAAAUGCUGCGAAUGUUACAGAGAAUCCUCAACACCCUGUAGUUUAUCUAUCUCAGACUAAUCACAGACGAAUGGGGAAAAUCUCAGAUUACAGCGCAUCCAGUCUGUAGCUUGUAGCUUAAUUUAAGAUGCUGUAUACACGACAAUCUGUCGUCAGCUUUAAACCGGAACUUUGAAAGCGACUACACGGCGAGCAAAAGUUAAACCCAGAGCGAUCUGGGAUAAAUUUGGGAGAGGACGCGGCCGACACAAACACGGGCGUCAGAAUUUAGCUGCAGCUCGUUUCCAGUCCAGCGGGACCCACUGGGGCCGCAACGCCAUGCGGCGGGUAGCUGAUUCAGCAUGUCGACGAUCGUGACACUUAGAAGGUGUUGAAAAGUGUGGGCAGAGCAGGUUUAGCAACGUGGCCUCUGCUCGUCCUUCGCUCUCCAGUAAUGGUCGGUAAGAAACAUCAACAGGUUCAUUGCCUUUCACACAGCCGUGUGUGGAAAAUGUACACAUUUUAAUACGGGGAGAAGGAAAAACAAAAACAGUAUCAAGGUUUAUAGUCAUGACUCGGUUGGCUUCUUUCCCUGGCUACAACCUAGCUCCGAUGUCUUCUUGCCGUUGCCGUGAUUUUCACUGACGUCAAAGAUUUUGCUGAGGGUUUUGAGGACUUUUUGAGUGAGAAAAUCAUCUUGCAUAUCUAAAAAAAAAAAUAAAAAUAAAAAAACAUAGAAUUAUGGAAUUGUUGGGUAAGUCUAAGAUAAAAGUUGCUGCAUGUCUCCAGAUUAAUUUUGAGUGCACAAGUGAAGAUUUGUAUGGUUCUUUAGCCAGUGAUAAGAAGGAAAUUGGACUACAUGAUGUCUGAGUUCAGUGGCUUGGAAACCUAGCAAACAGGUACCCCAACAGGGGUAUAAAAGUUUGCUGUGUGUAUGCUCUGAUCUGUGAUCUUUGUGAAAAAGAUAGACUAGGUGAUUUCAAUGCUGAUACUCUGACACGGAUGUUUAUUUCCAAGUGUCACCAAAUUAGUCUACACUGAUUAAUAAAAAAAAGACCCACAUAUGAAGUUAUUUAGUUUACAGAGAACUCAUUUGAAGUACAGUCAUUAAAAUAAAACCCGCCCAUAUUCUUCCUUGAUAAACCUUUUGCUCAUUAGGAGCUGUUUGGUUAUCUGCAGCUGUGGCAGGAGCUGUGCUUGUUCCUUCCUUUAAUAAUGCAAAUAAAUAUUGCAAUAACUGCAUGUGCUUUUAUGGUACGACUUAAAAUUGUUAUUUAAGGUGUUUUAAAUGUUACUGUCUAACAUAUGUUUUAUAAAUAGCAGCCAUCUUUAAAUAACUAUAGAUGUAUUCAUUUCAUACCAGCUGUAUUCGAAAUUGUCUUGUGUAAAUAAUAGUUAAUUGACGGCGUUUGGCAGAGCACAUACACAGAGCAGUAUUUUUGUAAACGCAUUGCUGCUCCGUCGGAUCAGAUGAUGGACAGACGCUUGUGCUCGAGUUGGAAAAGUGCCUGUCAGACAGGGAUGAGGACACACUGACCUUAGAGAGAUGUAUUCAUACUCGCCUCUAAUUGCACGAUUAGGAGUCCGUCUUUUGUUUUGCCUCUAACAUCAGCAUUAAAAGAACAGCGUUGUGCUGGAUUCACGUAUUCAGACUCCGUACAUUUAGGCCGCGAUUACUGCUGAGGACAUCGGGCUGCAUGUCGGGCGGUAAAGACGCACAGCGUCCUCCUUUUUUUUUUUUUUUAUCCACGCUCAGCGACACGGCUCAGAUUUGUUGUCCGCACCGACUACCAGAUUACGUAAUGCGAGGUUACGUAAGGUGAAAGCUCGACAUGGAGGAACUUGUUCACAAACAGUCCUCUGCUUUGUGUUUUUACUAUCAACAGAUAGGUUCCU
This is a long non-coding RNA of Poecilia latipinna (sailfin molly), 3080 nucleotides long. RefSeq lists it as uncharacterized. The record is from RefSeq and is a predicted model, not a curated record. The transcript has 2 exons. NCBI's taxonomy places the organism in Eukaryota, Metazoa, Chordata, Actinopteri, Cyprinodontiformes, Poeciliidae.